CCUACGGGGGACAGCAGUGAGGAAUAUUGGUCAAUGGGCGGGAGCCUGAACCAGCCAAGCCGCGUGAGGGAAGAAGGUACAGCGUAUCGUAAACCUCUUUUGUCAGGGAACAAAGUCGGGGACUAGUGCCCGUUUGAGGGUACCUGAAGAAAAAGCAUCGGCUAACUCCGUGCCAGCAGCCGCGGUAUUACGGAGGAUGCGAGCGUUAUCCGGUUUUAUUGGGUUUAAAGGGGGCGCAGGCGGCCUGUUAAGUCAGUGGUAAAAGUCCGGGGCUCAACCGCGGCGAGCCGUUGAAACUGGCGGGCUGGAGUUGGAUAGAGGUACGCGGAAUGCGUGGUGUAGCGGUGAAAUGCUUAGAUAUCGCGCAGAACCCCGAUUGCGAAGGCAGCGUACCGGCUCCAAACUGACGCUGAGGCACGAAAGCGUGGGUAUCGAACAGGAUUAGAUACCCGGGUAGUC
RNAcentral lists this ribosomal RNA (459 nucleotides) under uncultured bacterium. RNAcentral's name for it is "partial 16S ribosomal RNA". It matches the Rfam family "Bacterial small subunit ribosomal RNA", at positions 338 to 795 of the family's 1533-position model. The record is from RNAcentral.